Molecule: ribosomal RNA, 481 nt
Filed under: uncultured bacterium
Lineage: Bacteria
Description: bacterial SSU rRNA
Rfam family: Bacterial small subunit ribosomal RNA
Source: RNAcentral
GAACGCUGGCGGCGUGGAUAAGGCAUGCAAGUCGAACGCUACCUUCGGGAAAGCGUGGCAAACGGGUUAGUAACACGUCGGAACGUGCCCCAAAGUUCGGCAUAACCCCGCGAAAGCGGGGAUAAUACCGGAUGUUCUCUUUUGCGGAAACGCAACAGAGCAAAGGGUUUACUCGCUUUGGGAGCGGCCGGCGGCUUAUCAGCUUGUUGGUGAGGUAAAAGCUCACCAAGGCUAUGACGAGUAGGGGGUCCGAGAGGAUGUUCCCCAACAUUGGCACUGAGACACGGGCCAGACACCUACGGGUGGCAGCAGCCGAGAAUCUUCCCCAAUGGACGAAAGUCUGAGGGAGCGACGCCGCGUGCAGGAAUAAGGCCUUCGGGUUGUAAACUGCUUUUCUAAGAGAACAAUCCCGAUUUAUCGGGGUGAGCGUACCUUAGGAAUAAGAGGUUGCUAACUCUGUGCCAGCAGCCGCGGUAAUACA